RNAcentral lists this ribosomal RNA (421 nucleotides) under uncultured archaeon. RNAcentral describes it as "partial 16S ribosomal RNA". It matches the Rfam family "Archaeal small subunit ribosomal RNA", at positions 323 to 746 of the family's 1478-position model. The record is from RNAcentral.
CUACGGGGUGCUCCAGCUAGGAAUAAUCUACAAUGCACGAAAGUGUGAUAGUUUGAGUCAGAGUGCUUUUCAAAUUGAAAGGCUUUUAUGAAAUGUAAAAAGUUUCACGAAUAAGGACUGGGUAAGACUAGUGCCAGCCGCCGCGGUAAUACUAGCGGUCCAAGUCGCACCAUUUUUAUUGGGUCUAAAACAUCCGUAGCUUGCUUGAUAAGUUCCUUGUGAAAUCCUAUAUCUUAAGUAUGGGGCGCGCAAGAAAUACUGUUAAGCUAGAGACUGGGAGACGUAAGAAGUACGUUGGAAGUAACAGUAAAAUGUGUUAAUCUUUAACGGACUCACAAUAGCGAAGGCAUCUUACGAGAACAGUUCUGACAGUGAGGGAUGAAGGCUAGGGGCGCAAAACGGAUUAGAUACCCCGGUAGUC